Molecule: non-coding RNA, 23 nt
Filed under: Cricetulus griseus (Chinese hamster)
Lineage: Eukaryota; Metazoa; Chordata; Mammalia; Rodentia; Cricetidae
Source: RNAcentral
GCUGAGCAUGGAGUGGGAGCCAC